This 447-nucleotide unclassified non-coding RNA is filed under the name Melitaea cinxia (Glanville fritillary). Its description in RNAcentral is "misc RNA ENSMCXG00005017784.1". Lineage: Eukaryota; Metazoa; Arthropoda; Insecta; Lepidoptera; Nymphalidae. The record is from RNAcentral.
AGAUAUAACCGUCGAAGUAAAUGUACAGCUUCGCGCGCGCAGUGGCUCUGUACGAAGUGGUCGUUGGGCUGUCGCGCGUCCCUUAUCACCCUACAGGAUGAAAUUGUCAACGUGAAGAAUGAACACAAUCAUUAAUAUGAUAAUCAUUGCUGUGUGAUAUUAAAAGUCCAGUAUUUUCAAGGACUCGACGAGGUACUCUGGUCUUGGACAUAGGAAAUCAUAGAUUUUACAAGAACAACAGGAGUCUCGGGAUAAAAGCCGCUUGGUUUUGCAAGAAACGAAAAAUUGGAUGUCGCGCAUCACUUAUUGUUUGUGAGAAUACGGUUGUGAGUGCGAAGAACAGUCACAACCACGAUUGAAGAUUCUAUAAAAACAGAGCAGGAUAAGUAAUAAAUAAAUAAACGGCAAACAUCUGUACGGCCAAGACAAAUAGUUGCCGUGUGUAGG